This 1324-nucleotide long non-coding RNA is filed under the name Cervus hanglu yarkandensis (Yarkand deer). RNAcentral's name for it is "lncRNA (ENSCHYG00000003913.1)". The record is from RNAcentral. Lineage: Eukaryota; Metazoa; Chordata; Mammalia; Artiodactyla; Cervidae.
AUGCCCGAUCCUGCAGCAUGUGGGUGUGCUCUUAAUUCCCUUACCAGGAAUAGAUGGAAGCUGGGCCUCCUGCAUUGGGAGCGUAGGCUCUUAACCACUGGACCACCGGAGAAGUCCCUGAAGAUUAUGGUUUUAAAAAAAACCUGGAUUUUAUCCUACAGAACAGUGGUCUCCAGAGUGGAGUAUAAAAAAGUGUGUGAACCUGGCUCUGUCCCUUGGGUUCAGUACAAAUAAACGGAGCUGCUGAGGGAACAGGGUAAGCAAGCUGAUUUUUGUAGUUACAGGCUGUUCCACAUAACCCAUUUACAAGGUCAGUAGGGACCACAGCUUACCAAAACAAAGAGGUAUGUAAUUUUAAAUGAGGAACUCUUGAUCGAUCAGAAACAAGAAAAGACCUUCCAGGGUUCCUAAAUGGUUUAUAUUCCUGACUGUAAUGCAACAAAAAAUUGCUGGAGGGUAAGGAAAAAGGAAGACAGACUAGAGGAUCAGAAUAUUAAAGUGCCAUAAAAAUAGAGUGCUGAGUACGGCCCUGUCUGUUAGAACUCUGGACCAGCCUCUUUCCUUCAUUGUGUUCUUAUAACUGAAUGGGAUCAUUACAGGUUUGGAUGAUUUGGAGAAAUAAACAUGUAAUUAAAGUUGUAGAUAUAAAAGUGGUUUCAUAUGGAUGUUUUUAGAGAGAAGAACAGUGGUUAAGAAAUGAGAGCCUUAAAACCAGCCUCCUGAGGAAAGGGCUGAGGAUCCCAGAGAGGAAGGCUGGACUGCAGGCAGCAUGGGCCAGCAUGUGCCUUUAGAUAAGUUCCUUCAACCUAUGAGCCUCAAUUUUCUCUUCUGUAAAGUGGAGGUAACAGUAGUUGCUACCUCAUAACCUCAUAGACUUAUUGUGACAGGUAAACAAGUGAAGGUGUGUAAACUCUUCAUCCAGAGGGUGGAAGCUGAGUGCUGACACCGGUCCUGGAGGUGGGAUGCUGGGGCGGAGUGUGGCUAAACAGGAGUUGGGGACUUUUAUAAUCCAAGAAAUAAAACGAUUGGAAAAGAUGUUGAUUGGGAUUGGAGGGGCUAAGAGGUAGUAACCCUUUCGUAAUUCCGAAAGCUGAAAUUGGGAGGAGAAGCCAAGCUGGGCCUCUGGGCUUUGGCUGGCAAUGAGGAGAGCAGUGAAUCAAGCUCUGAGACCAAAAAAAAAAAAAAAAAAAAAUGAGUCUUUUUUUUUUUUAAUAUCAGAGCUCUAAAGAACUAAGAGAAAUGUCCUGAUUUGGACUAGAGUGGAAGUAGGGGCAAUGGAAAAUGUUUUAACAACCAGCUGAGAGUGGAGAUGAGAGCCUAAUUU